UACAGGGGGGGCAAGCGUUGUUCGGAAUUACUGGGCGUAAAGGGCGCGUAGGCGGGCGGACAAGUCUCUCGUGAAAGCCCACGGCUCAACCGUGGAAUUGCGGGAGAUACUGUCUGUCUUGAGUCCGGGAGAGGAGGGUGGAAUUCCCAGUGUAGCGGUGAAAUGCGUAGAUAUUGGGAGGAACACCGGUGGCGAAGGCGGCUCUCUGGACCGGUACUGACGCUGAGGCGCGAAAGCUAGGGGAGCAAACGGG
RNAcentral lists this ribosomal RNA (253 nucleotides) under uncultured bacterium. RNAcentral describes it as "partial 16S ribosomal RNA". It matches the Rfam family "Bacterial small subunit ribosomal RNA", at positions 524 to 776 of the family's 1533-position model. The record is from RNAcentral.